Molecule: ribosomal RNA, 449 nt
Filed under: uncultured bacterium
Lineage: Bacteria
Description: partial 16S ribosomal RNA
Rfam family: Bacterial small subunit ribosomal RNA
Source: RNAcentral
AACGAACGCUGGCGGCAUGCCUAACACAUGCAAGUCGAACGAAGCCUUCGGGCUUAGUGGCGCACGGGUGCGUAACGCGUGGGAAUCUGCCCUUUGGUUCGGAAUAACAGUUGGAAACGACUGCUAAUACCGGAUGAUGACGAAAGUCCAAAGAUUUAUCGCCAGAGGAUGAGCCCGCGUAGGAUUAGCUAGUUGGUGUGGUAAAGGCGCACCAAGGCGACGAUCCUUAGCUGGUCUGAGAGGAUGUUCAGCCACACUGGGACUGGGACACGGCCCAGACUCCUACGGGGGGCAGUAGUGGGGAAUAUUGGACAAUGGGCGAAAGCCUGAUCCAGCAAUGCCGCGUGAGUGAUGAAGGCCCUAGGGUUGUAAAGCUCUUUUACCCGGGAUGAUAAUGACAGUACCGGGAGAAUAAGCCCCGGCUAACUCCGUGCCAGCAGCCGCCGUAA